This 225-nucleotide unclassified non-coding RNA is filed under the name uncultured fungus. RNAcentral's name for it is "sequence contains ITS1, 5.8S rRNA gene". The stretch from base 177 to 225 matches the Rfam family "5.8S ribosomal RNA", at positions 1 to 49 of the family's 154-position model. The record is from RNAcentral. Lineage: Eukaryota; Fungi.
UCUCCGUAGGUGAACCUGCGGAGGGAUCAUUACUGAGUGAGGGCUCACGCCCGACCUCCAACCCUGUGUGAACACAUCUUGUUGCUUCGGGGGCGACCCUGCCGUUUCGACGGCGAGCGCCCCCGGAGGCCUUCAAACACUGCAUCUUUGCGUCGGAGUUUAAGUAAAUUAAACAAAACGUUCAACAACGGAUCUCUUGGUUCUGGCAACGAAGAAGAACGCAGC